RNAcentral lists this unclassified non-coding RNA (376 nucleotides) under uncultured Actinomycetes bacterium. RNAcentral describes it as "uncultured actinobacterium contains 16S-23S intergenic spacer region". The record is from RNAcentral. Lineage: Bacteria; Bacillati; Actinomycetota; Actinomycetes.
UCCGAGUUGACCCCGGCAGUCUCCUGCGAGUCCCCGCCAUUACGCGCUGGCAACACAGGACAAGGGUUGCGCUCGUUGCGGGACUUAACCCAACAUCUCACGACACGAGCUGACGACAACCAUGCACCACCUGUGCUGGGCCCUUACGGAAACGGGCUUUCACCCGCUUUACCCAGCAUGUCAAGCCCAGGUAAGGUUCUUCGCGUUGCAUCGAAUUAAGCCACAUGCUCCGCCGCUUGUGCGGGCCCCCGUCAAUUCCUUUGAGUUUUAGCCUUGCGGCCGUACUCCCCAGGCGGGACACUUAAUGCGUUAGCUGCGGCACGGGAGGAGUCGACACCUCCCACACCUAGUGUCCAUCGUUUACGGCGUGGACUAC